RNAcentral lists this transfer RNA (77 nucleotides) under bacterium. Its description in RNAcentral is "tRNA-Val". It matches the Rfam family "tRNA". Rfam says of the family: Transfer RNA (tRNA) molecules are approximately 80 nucleotides in length. Their secondary structure includes four short double-helical elements and three loops (D, anti-codon, and T loops). Further hydrogen bonds mediate the characteristic L-shaped molecular structure. tRNAs have two regions of fundamental functional importance: the anti-codon, which is responsible for specific mRNA codon recognition, and the 3' end, to which the tRNAs corresponding amino acid is attached (by aminoacyl-tRNA synthetases). tRNAs cope with the degeneracy of the genetic code in two manners: having more than one tRNA (with a specific anti-codon) for a particular amino acid; and 'wobble' base-pairing, i.e. permitting non-standard base-pairing at the 3rd anti-codon position. The record is from RNAcentral.
GGAUAAUUAGCUCAGUUGGUUAGAGUACCAGUUCGACAUACUGGGGGUCAUAGGUUCAAGUCCUAUAUUAUCCACCA